ACCUCGGUGGUCUAGUGGCGGACGGGUGAGUAAUACAUGGGAAUCUGCCUUUUAGUGGGGGAUAACGUAGGGAAACUUACGCUAAUACCGCAUACGCUCCACGGAGGAAAGGGGGGGAUCGCAAGACCUCUCGCUAAAAGAUGAGCCCAUGUCUGAUUAGCUAGUUGGUGGGGUGAGGGCCUACCAAGGCGACGAUCAGUAGCCGGCCUGAGAGGGUGUACGGCCACACUGGGACUGAGACACGGCCCAGACUCCUACGGGAGGCAGCAGUGGGGAAUAUUGGACAAUGGGCGAAAGCCUGAUCCAGCAAUGCCGCGUGUGUGAAGAAGGCCUUCGGGUUGUAAAGCACUUUAAGUGGGAAAGAAGUGCAUUCAAUUAAUACCUGGAUGUAUUGACGUUACCCACAGAAUAAGCACCGGCUAACUCCGUGCCCGGCAGCCGCGGUAAUACGGAGGGUGCAA
RNAcentral lists this ribosomal RNA (461 nucleotides) under uncultured bacterium. RNAcentral's name for it is "bacterial SSU rRNA". It matches the Rfam family "Bacterial small subunit ribosomal RNA", at positions 81 to 537 of the family's 1533-position model. The record is from RNAcentral.